Streptomyces sp. DI166 is the source of this 69-nucleotide non-coding RNA. It matches the Rfam family "ASpks TB sRNA". Lineage: Bacteria; Bacillati; Actinomycetota; Actinomycetes; Kitasatosporales; Streptomycetaceae. The record is from Rfam.
CUUCACCGACCCCAGCCACAACGGCCGUUCACGGCCCUGCCCGUACGUCGCGAGCAGCGCCUGCGCCUC